CAAACCAACAAGCUUGCUUGUUGGGGUUGUAGGACACUCUAUACGGAGUUACAAAGGACGACAUUAGACGAAUCAUCUGGAAAGAUGAAUCAAAGAAGGUAAUAAUCCUGUAGUCGAAAAUGUUGUCUCUCUUGAGUGGAUCCUGAGUACGACGGAGCACGUGAAAUUCCGUCGGAAUCUGGGAGGACCAUCUCCUAAGGCUAAAUACUCUCUAGUGACCGAUAGUGAACCAGUACCGUGAGGGAAAGGUGAAAAGCACCCCGGAAGGGGAGUGAAAUAGAACCUGAAACCGUGUGCUUACAAGUAGUCAGAGCCCGUUAAUGGGUGAUGGCGUGCCUUUUGUAGAAUGAACCGGCGAGUUACGAUUUGAUGCAAGGUUAAGCAGUAAAUGUGGAGCCGUAGCGAAAGCGAGUCUGAAUAGGGCGUUUAGUAUUUGGUCGUAGACCCGAAACCAGGUGAUCUACCCUUGGUCAGGUUGAAGUUCAGGUAACACUGAAUGGAGGACCGAACCGACUUACGUUGAAAAGUGAGCGGAUGAACUGAGGGUAGCGGAGAAAUUCCAAUCGAACCUGGAGAUAGCUGGUUCUCUCCGAAAUAGCUUUAGGGCUAGCCUCAAGUGAUGAUUAUUGGAGGUAGAGCACUGUUUGGACGAGGGGCCCCUCUCGGGUUACCGAAUUCAGACAAACUCCGAAUGCCAAUUAAUUUAACUUGGGAGUCAGAACAUGGGUGAUAAGGUCCGUGUUCGAAAGGGAAACAGCCCAGACCACCAGCUAAGGUCCCAAAAUAUAUGUUAAGUGGAAAAGGAUGUGGCGUUGCCCAGACAACUAGGAUGUUGGCUUAGAAGCAGCCAUCAUUUAAAGAGUGCGUAAUAGCUCACUAGUCGAGUGACACUGCGCCGAAAAUGUACCGGGGCUAAACAUAUUACCGAAGCUGUGGAUUGUCCUUUGGACAAUGGUAGGAGAGCGUUCUAAGGGCGUUGAAGCAUGAUCGUAAGGACAUGUGGAGCGCUUAGAAGUGAGAAUGCCGGUGUGAG
RNAcentral lists this ribosomal RNA (1033 nucleotides) under Staphylococcus aureus. RNAcentral's name for it is "partial 23S ribosomal RNA". It matches the Rfam family "Bacterial large subunit ribosomal RNA", at positions 270 to 1306 of the family's 2925-position model. The record is from RNAcentral. Lineage: Bacteria; Bacillati; Bacillota; Bacilli; Caryophanales; Staphylococcaceae.